RNAcentral lists this ribosomal RNA (467 nucleotides) under uncultured bacterium. Its description in RNAcentral is "bacterial SSU rRNA". It matches the Rfam family "Bacterial small subunit ribosomal RNA", at positions 45 to 507 of the family's 1533-position model. The record is from RNAcentral.
GGCUUAAUACAUGCAAGUCGUGGGGCAGCAUGAGUAGCAAUACUUGAUGGCGACCGGCAAACGGGUGAGGAACACGUACACAACCUUCCUUCAAGCGGGGAAUAGCCCAGAGAAAUUUGGAUUAAUACCCCAUAAUAUAUUUGAUAGGGCAUCUUAUUAAUAUUAAAGCUUCGGCACUUGAUGAUGGGUGUGCGGCUGAUUAGAUAGUUGGCGGGGUAACGGCCCACCAAGUCUACGAUCAGUAGCUGAUGUGAGAGCAUGAUCAGCCACACGGGCACUGAGACACGGGCCCGACUCCUACGGGAGGCAGCAGUAAGGAAUAUUGGACAAUGGACGAAAGUCUGAUCCAGCCAUGCCGCGUGAAGGAUUAAGGUCCUCUGGAUUGUAAACUUCUUUUAUAUGGGACGAAAAAGGGCAUUCUUGUUCACUUGACGGUACCAUAUGAAUAAGCACCGGCUAACUCCGUG